RNAcentral lists this microRNA (20 nucleotides) under Physcomitrium patens. Its description in RNAcentral is "ppt-miR1043-5p". Lineage: Eukaryota; Viridiplantae; Streptophyta; Bryopsida; Funariales; Funariaceae. The record is from miRBase by way of RNAcentral.
CCUUCAACUUCAUGCGUGCA